Molecule: transfer RNA, 88 nt
Filed under: Thermus phage phiLo
Lineage: Duplodnaviria; Heunggongvirae; Uroviricota; Caudoviricetes
Rfam family: tRNA
About the family: Transfer RNA (tRNA) molecules are approximately 80 nucleotides in length. Their secondary structure includes four short double-helical elements and three loops (D, anti-codon, and T loops).
Source: Rfam by way of RNAcentral
GGUGGGGUGGCCGAGCGGUUGAAGGCGGCGGUCUUGAAAACCGCUGUGGGACUCGCUCCCACCGGGGGUUCGAAUCCCUCCCCCACCG